This 253-nucleotide ribosomal RNA is filed under the name uncultured bacterium. RNAcentral describes it as "partial 16S ribosomal RNA". It matches the Rfam family "Bacterial small subunit ribosomal RNA", at positions 524 to 776 of the family's 1533-position model. The record is from RNAcentral.
UACGGGGGGAGCAAGCGUUGUUCGGAUUUACUGGGCGUAAAGGGCGCGUAGGCGGCGCCGCAAGUCGGUUGUGAAAUCUCUGGGCUUAACCCAGAAAGGUCAACCGAUACUGCGGGGCUAGAGUGCAGAAGGGGCAACUGGAAUUCUCGGUGUAGCGGUGAAAUGCGUAGAGAUCGGGAGGAACACCCGUGGCGAAGGCGGCUCACUGGGCUGACCUUGACGCUGAGGCGCGAAGGCGUGGGGAGCGAACGGG